RNAcentral lists this unclassified non-coding RNA (253 nucleotides) under uncultured Chitinophagales bacterium. RNAcentral describes it as "contains 16S-23S intergenic spacer region". It matches the Rfam family "Bacterial small subunit ribosomal RNA", at positions 524 to 776 of the family's 1533-position model. Lineage: Bacteria; Pseudomonadati; Bacteroidota; Chitinophagia; Chitinophagales. The record is from RNAcentral.
UACGGAGGGUGCAAGCGUUAUCCGGAUUCACUGGGUUUAAAGGGUGCGUAGGUGGGUUGCCAAGUCCGUGGUGAAAUCCCCGAGCUUAACUCGGGAACUGCCGUGGAUACUGGUAGCCUUGAAUAUGGUGGAGGUAAGCGGAAUAUGUCAUGUAGCGGUGAAAUGCAUAGAUAUGACAUAGAACACCAAUAGCGAAGGCAGCUUACUACGCCGUCAUUGACACUGAGGCACGAAAGCGUGGGGAGCAAACAGG